RNAcentral lists this ribosomal RNA (253 nucleotides) under uncultured bacterium. RNAcentral's name for it is "partial 16S ribosomal RNA". It matches the Rfam family "Bacterial small subunit ribosomal RNA", at positions 524 to 776 of the family's 1533-position model. The record is from RNAcentral.
GACGAACCGAGCGAACGUUGUUCGGAAUCACUGGGCUUAAAGGGCGCGUAGGCGGGCUGCCGCGUCCGGGGUGAAAUCCCACGGCUCAACCGUGGAACGGCCCCGGGUACGGGCGGCCUCGAGGGGGGUAGGGGCGUGCGGAACUGUGGGUGGAGCGGUGAAAUGCGUUGAGAUCCACAGGAACUCCGGUGGCGAAAGCGACGUGCUGGACCUUUUCUGACGCUGAGGCGCGAAAGCUAGGGGAGCAAACGGG